Macrobrachium nipponense is the source of this 646-nucleotide long non-coding RNA. RefSeq lists it as uncharacterized. Lineage: Eukaryota; Metazoa; Arthropoda; Malacostraca; Decapoda; Palaemonidae. The transcript has 2 exons. The record is from RefSeq and is a predicted model, not a curated record.
UAUGAAUAGGGUUCAUCUUCUGAAUAAUUAAUACUAAACCAGCUUUACUUCCCGAAACAGAAAGGACCUCUCGUGGCUCUCCUUGGGCUCUGUGCCCUCGCCUUGACCUUUGGUGAGGAUCAGUGUUCCAGUGCAAUACUCAUCUCAGUGCCCUGCAGUUGACCCAUCCACGCCCGUGUACCUGGCCGUUCCAGAGAACUGCCUGGAAUACUGCGAGUGUUCCAACGGCGUCGCCUGGCUCUUCCACUGCGAUGUCGAACAGGCCUGGGACGACACCCAGAAGCGCUGCGACUUCAUAGACAACGUAGACUGCGGUGGUCGUCCCAUUCCUCCGCCGUCAUAAGGGUCGUUCUUGCUGCGACAGAUGAAGUGACCGAUGAACUGGUGGACGCUCUACCAUCGAAAAAAAAAAAAAAAAAAAAAAAAAAAAAAAAAAAAAAUAGUAUAUGACUUCAAUCAAUUCUGGUCAGGGUGGGACGCCAAAAAUGGCAAUAUCUUGUUAUUUUCCCGUUUCUUGUUCCUAUCUUCGUUUGUGUUAUAAAAACAGGUCACUCAAGGCUUCUAUUUCAUUUAACAAGAUGUUAAUUCAGUAUAGGAUACAAAUCCAGACUAAUAUAAUAAAAGCAGCAGUGAAGUUUCGAAAUAA